Long non-coding RNA from Hibiscus syriacus, 254 nucleotides. RefSeq lists it as uncharacterized. The record is from RefSeq and is a predicted model, not a curated record. The transcript is spliced from 3 exons. Lineage: Eukaryota; Viridiplantae; Streptophyta; Magnoliopsida; Malvales; Malvaceae.
UAUUUGGAUCCUGGAGCACCGGAUAAAUGAUGAGUUUAGGGCCCACCUAAAUAUCAAGUUAUAACCAUUUUAUGGUUUAGCUUCUCAACAAUGUUCUUUGCCCACAGAGAGAAUACUAUGAGCAUGCUCGGCCGUCUAGUGUUAAUUAUAUGUCUCUUUGUGGUUUUAAUAAUCAACUCCAGUUACACUGCAAGUCUGACAUCAAUCCUCACAGUGGAACAUUUAUAUUCUCCAAUUAAAGGACUUGAAAGCUU